CCUACGGGAGGCAGCAGUGGGGAAUCUUGCGCAAUGGGCGAAAGCCUGACGCAGCAACGCCGCGUGCGGGAUGAAGGCCUUCGUGGUUGUAAACCGCUUUCAGCAGGGACGAAAAUGACGGUACCUGCAGAAGAAGCCCCGGCUAACUACGUGCCAGCAGCCGCGGUAAUACGUAGGGGGCAAGCGUUGUCCGGAAUCAUUGGGCGUAAAGAGCUCGUAGGCGGUUCAGUAAGUCAGGUGUGAAAGCUCCGAGCUCAACUCGGAGAGGCCACCUGAUACUGCUGUGACUAGAAUCCAGUAGGGGAGUGUGGAACUCCUGGUGUAGCGGUGAAAUGCGCAGAUAUCAGGAAGAACACCAGCGGCGAAGGCGGCACUCUGGGCUGGAAUUGACGCUGAGGAGCGAAAGUGUGGGUAGCAAACAGGAUUAGAUACCCUGGUAGUCCACACCGUAAACGUUGGGCACUAGGUGUGGGGAGGAUCAACCCUUUCCGUGCCGUAGCUAACGCAUUAAGUGCCCCGCCUGGGGAGUACGGCCGCAAGGCUAAAACUUAAAGGAAUUGACGG
This 564-nucleotide ribosomal RNA is filed under the name uncultured bacterium. RNAcentral's name for it is "bacterial SSU rRNA". It matches the Rfam family "Bacterial small subunit ribosomal RNA", at positions 338 to 916 of the family's 1533-position model. The record is from RNAcentral.